UACGGAGGGUGCGAGCGUUAAUCGGAAUUACUGGGCGUAAAGCGUGCGUAGACGGUACUGUAAGUCGGGUGUGAAAGCCCCGGGCUCAACCUGGGAAUUGCAUUCGAGACUGCAUCGCUUGGGUGCGGAAGAGGGAAGCGGAAUUGCCGGUGUAGCGGUGAAAUGCGUAGAUAUCGUCUGGAACGCCGAAGGUGAAAACAGCUCGCUGGGGCUGCGCUGACGCUGAGACACGAAAGCCAGGGGAGCGAACGGG
This 253-nucleotide ribosomal RNA is filed under the name uncultured bacterium. Its description in RNAcentral is "partial 16S ribosomal RNA". It matches the Rfam family "Bacterial small subunit ribosomal RNA", at positions 524 to 776 of the family's 1533-position model. The record is from RNAcentral.